This 1047-nucleotide long non-coding RNA is filed under the name Marmota monax (woodchuck). Lineage: Eukaryota; Metazoa; Chordata; Mammalia; Rodentia; Sciuridae. The record is from RNAcentral.
CAAUACCUCACUCGGGGGCGGUGGAGCAAGGCAGGGGCCAGAGCAAAGAUCUGCCCUACCCACUCACAGCCUAUUAAACGUGCCUAAGGGCCGGCCCCAGGGCCAUCGGCCUUACCCGUGCGCUUUCGGGUGGGACCACGCUCCAGAAUCUGCCUCUUCUGCGACUGUUACUUUACUCUUUUGGGGGUGGGGUGGGGUUCCCUAUCUGAAGAACCAUUGCAGGUGGCUGCCUGUUCCCUGGGGCCCUGGGUGCUCGCCAGCUCAGCUAGGCCCGGGGCCUCCCUGCUAUUUCCCCCUUCAGGAAAGUUGUGUGCCACUUCCUUUGCCACAGAAACCUGCUCCCGGGCCCUUCCCUGUCCCAAAUGGCCACUUGUGAGGAGGGACUCACCACCACCAACAGGGCAGUCAUCUCCUUGCUUGUCUGUCAAGGGCUUGGGUCUCUUAGGGCUGAGAGCCUCCCAGGAGAUGUGGACCCAGAGAUGCAACAACUGCCCGGCCUCCACGGGGACAGUCUCUCUGGAGACCUCCACAGGGACAGUCUCUCUGGGUGGCUUCUUACUGCGCCUGGGAGCCACUGGGCGGGUUCCCGGCCACACAUCUGGCACCCUGACUGUUUCCUUCCUCCUCCCCCAGAUGUCUUGACAGGAUCACUGGGGCUCUUUGUGACUGAGGGUGGUCAAACUGCCACCGGAGGAGAUGGGGUCUCAGAGCAAGAGCUGGGAGGGGAGGGAGGGAAGGAUGAAGGCCUUGAUUUUGCUGCUGCGGGUCCCACAGCCGUGUUGGGGGGGAGGGGCCAAGCUGCAGACACACACGGUCAUUCAUUGCAGGCCACACCCCUUGUAGGAAGUGUACGUGUGCGCGCACGUGCACAUCCAAGUUCACACAUGCACACUAGCCUCCACUUACACGCUCGCCUGGGGCUGGCAGUCCCAUCGCCCCCUCAAAUCUGGAAGAGGGGCUAUGCUUGUUUGUUUUUGUAAUCCACAUCAUGAUUGCUUUCUUUAAUUGUUCCUCCUGAAUAAACAGUUUAUUUAAGAUACUGAAUAG